This 403-nucleotide ribosomal RNA is filed under the name uncultured bacterium. Its description in RNAcentral is "partial 16S ribosomal RNA". It matches the Rfam family "Bacterial small subunit ribosomal RNA", at positions 30 to 526 of the family's 1533-position model. The record is from RNAcentral.
AUUGAACGCUGGCGGCAGGCCUAACACAUGCAAGUCGAGCGAGCGGCGGACGGGUGAGUAAUGUAUGGGGACUGCCCGAUAGAGGGGGAUAACUACUGGAAACGGUGGCUAAUACCGCAUACUAUCGGAUAACCCAUAGGGGAUUAGCUAGUAGGGGGGGUAAAGGCUCACCUAGGCGACGAACUCUACCUGGUCUGAGAGGAUGAUGGGCCACACUGGGAGUAGAACACGGCCCAACCUCCUACGGAGGCAGCAGUGGGGAAUAUUGCACAAUGGGAGCAAGCCUAAUGCAGCCAUGCCGGGUGUAUGAUGAAGGCCUUAGGGUUGUAAAGUACUUUCAGCGGGGAGGAGUUAACCGCAGAAGAAGCAACGGCUAACUCCGUGCCAGCAGCCGCGGUAAUAC